This 153-nucleotide ribosomal RNA is filed under the name Pediococcus acidilactici. Its description in RNAcentral is "partial 16S ribosomal RNA". It matches the Rfam family "Bacterial small subunit ribosomal RNA", at positions 86 to 234 of the family's 1533-position model. Lineage: Bacteria; Bacillati; Bacillota; Bacilli; Lactobacillales; Lactobacillaceae. The record is from RNAcentral.
CGAAAGUGAGUGGCGGACGGGUGAGUAACACGUGGGUAACCUGCCCAGAAGCAGGGGAUAACACCUGGAAACAGAUGCUAAUACCGUAUAACAGAGAAAACCGCCUGGUUUUCUUUUAAAAGAUGGUCUGCUAUCACUUCUGGAUGGACCCGC